GUAGAGCUUCCAACACACCUUGUGCUUCUGCUUCCGCUAUCUCCUGCUUUCCUUCGAAACUCCGCGUAUACGCCUUCACAAAGCAGCCCUGAGCGUCUCGCACACAUGCUGCAACACCGUACAUAUUAAUCUCGCUAUAGCAUGCUGCAUCAAUAUUACACUUUAGCGCCCCUAUAGCUGGUCUGGUCCCAUAGUGUGACAUUUAUUCUUCCUUUAUAAUUAUAAUAAUUACAUAUGAACAAAAGGUAGACGGACAAAAAGCUGCGCCGCUAAAAAAAAUAGGCUGUGUGACAUACUUUUUCUCUAUUCUCUCCUCCUUCAUAAUUUUUUUUUUGGAUCCUUCUUCAUAUUUAAACCCCAAUCGAAUUCAAAAUUUCUAAGUUCUCAUUCUCAAGAACGUUUCCUUACCCGCCAAAUUCCAAUCCUUUCUCCCUCCAAAUGUCACACUCCGUCGAACAACAACUCUCCCUCUUUCGCUACCUCAUCCAAACCAGAAGUUUCGGCAACGCUACGCUCCGAUUUCUGGAUUCGCUUUUAGUCUCCAAAGACGUGAAAUCCUUAGUGGAGAUUCGAUCCAGCUUGAUGCAACUCCUCAAAUCUGAAUCACUAUCCAUCAUUCAAUCAAUCGCUGCAGAAUCCGUCCACGAUAAGCUACUCGUUCUCGAGUUCUUCGUUCGCGCUUUCGCUCUCGUUGGAGAUCUAGAGAGUUGUCUGGCUUUGAGAUAUGAAGCUUUAGUUAUGCGUGAAAUCAAAUCCGCUAGUUUUCAAUUGCUUCAAGUUUCGCCGGUAGAAUGGUUAAAGUUUGUUGAGGAUGCUGUGCAGAACGGUUUUCAUUCAGUUGCAGUUAAGGCAUGUGAAAAUGCUUUGCGUUGCAUUGGAAAUGAUGAUGUUCAAAAGCUUGGAAGAGACGCGUUUCCUGAAAAGUCGAAGGCAACUACUAUCACAGAGAUUACUAGGCUUAGGAACUUUGCAAUGACAUCAAUUACUUCACGUUCUGGUACAAGCAACAGAGUACCUAGAAAGGAAAACAAGAGAGCGGCAAAAGUUGGACUUACCCUACAAAGAAAAACGAUGUCUAGCAAGCACUUCCUUCAGAAAUGGAAUUAAGAGACAGAAUAUGCGAAAGUUAUAUGAACGACAAAGCCUUCUGCAGGUCAAUGGUGAAUUGCAUGAACCACAUCCAAAUUUGAGCUGAAGCAGAUAGUACAGAUUGCAACCUCCAAGGUUUCAAGUUUGUAAUCAUACUGGUACUUUGUUGAUUGAUUCUUAGUUUCAUACUAUAUCUGGAUUCUGAUAACUCACUUCUGUUUGGCUAGUGAAAGCUAUGUGUACUCAUCCAUAUUGCUCCAGGUUAAUAGGGGGGUUUAGUAUCCUUGCUCAGGCAUUAUAAAGUUAUAUGAGUGACAGAGGGUGAGAGGGGUGGAUAAGCAAUUACGUGGUGUUAGUUAUAAAAAAGAAAUCCGUGUCAGUUGAUGUUGAUUCAUUAAUCUUCGUUAUUAAGCAAGUUCUGUUGAUUCUUAUUUUUUGACCAGAAGUUCUUUUGAUAACAAGACCUUGUAAUAGCAAGCCUUAAGACAAUACAAAGGAGAAAUAGUCAUCAUCAAUUGUGAAAUAUGGUCACUCCAAUCAGGGUCUUAUUUUUUCUUCAUAGGUUCCCUAUUCAAUGUCUGUCGAUACCUCUUUUGGCCGAGAUUCAAAUUUUAGCUAGCCACAUUGUAGAAAUCUAUCCUCUUCCGCUAGACCAAACCUCUAUUAAUAGUCACUCUGGUGUCUUUUGUUGUAUUUAUUGGGCCAAAUUAAUUAAUGAAAAAUGCAUUCAAGAUCCAAACAAAUUAAGGAAAGACAAUUCAAAGAUAGAUCUCUCCAACGAAAGAUAUAUCUAGAAAUGUGUUUAUAAUUUUGAUACAUUCAUAAACUAUUAUACCAAUGUCCUACGUAUUUAAUGAGCAAAUUAUUGUUACUUUACGUCUAGAAUAGAUAAUGGUUAAAAUGGUCUCUAAGAACUAGUUCAACUGAUAAUACAGAUAAUACGAAAGCUGAACACUUUCAAAUAGUGCUUGCCAGUUGCCACUUCA
RNA transcript from Trifolium pratense (red clover), 2075 nucleotides. It is a transcript of the gene named protein DOUBLE-STRAND BREAK FORMATION, with no coding region annotated. NCBI's taxonomy places the organism in Eukaryota, Viridiplantae, Streptophyta, Magnoliopsida, Fabales, Fabaceae. The transcript has 6 exons. The record is from RefSeq and is a predicted model, not a curated record.